AUUCCUCUCUCAUCAUAAUCAACAGUGACAUAUUCUUCAGGGUCAUAUUCAGGGUCAUUGUCCUCCAAAUCUAAUCGCUCACCCUUUCCAUAUUGAUCGAUUGACUCUUUCACAUCAUCCACCUUGUUGUUCUGUACAGGUUUGGCAUUCAACGGUUGCUCAGGCUCCUCAUGCUUUUGUUCAGGGACUUUGAAUUCUUGUUUGAGCUCUACCGCGUUAUCCUUACUCUCUUCUUCCAUUGGUUCCUGAAGAGACUUUGGCUUGGCACGAGAUGUACGGCGACCUCCUUUGGAUCCAGAACCUGUAGGUGUCUUUCUCGCUGAUUUUGGAGGCAUAGUUGGU
Molecule: unclassified non-coding RNA, 342 nt
Filed under: Hevea brasiliensis (rubber tree)
Lineage: Eukaryota; Viridiplantae; Streptophyta; Magnoliopsida; Malpighiales; Euphorbiaceae
Source: RNAcentral